Molecule: ribosomal RNA, 253 nt
Filed under: uncultured bacterium
Lineage: Bacteria
Description: partial 16S ribosomal RNA
Rfam family: Bacterial small subunit ribosomal RNA
Source: RNAcentral
UACAGAGGGUGCAAGCGUUGUUCGGAAUUACUGGGCGUAAAGCGUGCGUAGGUGGUUCGUUAAGUCUGUUGUGAAAGCCCUGGGCUCAACCUGGGAAUGGCGAUGGAUACUGGCGAGCUAGAGUACGGUAGAGGAUGGUGGAAUUCCCGGUGUAGCGGUGAAAUGCGUAGAGAUCGGGAGGAACAUCAGUGGCGAAGGCGGCCAUCUGGACCAGUACUGACGCUGAGGCACGAAAGCGUGGGGAGCAAACAGG